CAAAUCAUAUAGCUUACUCUAAAAUAAAGAAUCUUUAAUAAAUGAAAUUAAAACCAUGACCAUAUUAUACAAUAAGAAUUCAUAUUAAUUUUGAAACAAGAUGUUGAUGACAUAUCUAUCACUCAAGAACAUUAUACGAAAAGAUUUGAAGAACUGAGAGCCAGUGAACAUGUCAAGGUUGUAACAUAGACACGAGUCUCUAUGUAAAACCAUUAACACGCGAUAUUAUCUAAAGUAGCUUGCUCUUGUAGCAUCUUUAUCAACUUCCAACGCCAAAUUGUAUGACUAACACAUAAGGCAGCUGCUACAUACUCGACUUUACAAGUUAAGAAAGGAACCGAAAAAAGAAAAAGAGAAAAAACAAGAGAAUAUCAUCAUAGGUUGCUUCUUAAGCACCAAAGUGAAUGUCAUUACUGAUAAAGAAAUGGACCUUGGGCCUAACUCAACCUCAAAAGCUAGUUCAUGAGGGGAGGAUUGCCCAAGACCAUAUAAGGAGACCAAGGACCCUUUAACCCACCGAUGUGGGACUCCAACACCCCACGCACGCCCAGGGUGGACAUCUGGAGCGUGGACAAUAUAAGACGGGGGUCCCAACAUUGAAAACAGUGAGCGUGGACAAUAUAAGAUGGGGGGCCCAACAUCGGAAACAAUGAACUGGUUGGGCCUGACUUUGAUACCAUGAUAAAGAAAUGGACCUUGGGACUAACUCAACCUCAAAAGCUAGCUCAUGAGGGGAGGAUUGCCCAAGACCAUAUAAGGAGACCAAGGAUCCUUUAACCCACCGAUGUGGGACUCCAACAAUUACUCUAAAAGAAAAGAUUGCAGUGUGAAGCAUCGUAGCGAUGCGUAGGGUCGGGGGAAGACGGCCAUACCACAG
Molecule: long non-coding RNA, 877 nt
Filed under: Capsicum annuum
Lineage: Eukaryota; Viridiplantae; Streptophyta; Magnoliopsida; Solanales; Solanaceae
Description: long non-coding RNA (CANN_LNC020996)
Source: RNAcentral